AUUGAACGCUGGCGGCAUGCCUUACACAUGCAAGUCGAACGGUAACAGGUCUUCGGAUGCUGACGAGUGGCGAACGGGUGAGUAAUACAUCGGAACGUGCCUAGUAGUGGGGGAUAACUACUCGAAAGAGUGGCUAAUACCGCAUGAGAUCUACGGAUGAAAGCAGGGGAUCGAAAGACCUUGUGCUACUAGAGCGGCUGAUGGCAGAUUAGGUAGUUGGUGGGAUAAAAGCUUACCAAGCCGACGAUCUGUAGCUGGUCUGAGAGGACGAUUAGCCACACUGGGACUGAGACACGGCCCAGACUCCUACGGGAGGCAGCAGUGGGGAAUUUUGGACAAUGGGCGCAAGCCUGAUCCAGCAAUGCCGCGUGCAGGAUGAAGGCCUUCGGGUUGUAAACUGCUUUUGUACGGAACGAAAAGCCCCGGGUUAAUACCCUGGGGUCAUGACGGUACCGUAAGAAUAAGCACCGGCUAACUACGUGCCAGCAGCCGCCGUAA
RNAcentral lists this ribosomal RNA (498 nucleotides) under uncultured bacterium. Its description in RNAcentral is "partial 16S ribosomal RNA". It matches the Rfam family "Bacterial small subunit ribosomal RNA", at positions 30 to 523 of the family's 1533-position model. The record is from RNAcentral.